GUCUUCGUAGCUCAGUUGGUUAGAGCGUCUGACUGUUAAUCAGGAGGUCGACAGUUCGAACCUGUCCGAGGACG
RNAcentral lists this transfer RNA (74 nucleotides) under Rhodotorula toruloides. RNAcentral's name for it is "tRNA-Asn (GTT) cove score=72.03". It matches the Rfam family "tRNA". From Rfam's summary of the family: Transfer RNA (tRNA) molecules are approximately 80 nucleotides in length. Their secondary structure includes four short double-helical elements and three loops (D, anti-codon, and T loops). Further hydrogen bonds mediate the characteristic L-shaped molecular structure. tRNAs have two regions of fundamental functional importance: the anti-codon, which is responsible for specific mRNA codon recognition, and the 3' end, to which the tRNAs corresponding amino acid is attached (by aminoacyl-tRNA synthetases). tRNAs cope with the degeneracy of the genetic code in two manners: having more than one tRNA (with a specific anti-codon) for a particular amino acid; and 'wobble' base-pairing, i.e. permitting non-standard base-pairing at the 3rd anti-codon position. RNAcentral also lists the same sequence under 2 other names. The record is from RNAcentral. Lineage: Eukaryota; Fungi; Basidiomycota; Microbotryomycetes; Sporidiobolales; Sporidiobolaceae.